Molecule: ribosomal RNA, 253 nt
Filed under: uncultured bacterium
Lineage: Bacteria
Description: partial 16S ribosomal RNA
Rfam family: Bacterial small subunit ribosomal RNA
Source: RNAcentral
UACAGAGGGUGCAAGCGUUAAUCGGAAUUACUGGGCGUAAAGCGUGCGUAGACGGUUACAUAAGUCAGAUGUGAAAGCCCCGGGCUCAACCUGGGAAUUGCAUUUGAGACUGUGUAGCUAGGGUGCGGAAGAGGGAAGCGGAAUUUCCGGUGUAGCGGUGAAAUGCGUAGAUAUCGGAAGGAACACCAGUGGCGAAAGCGGCUUCCUGGUCCAGCACCGACGUUCAGGCACGAAAGCGUGGGGAGCAAACGGG